GGGCGGUUACUCAAGUGGCCAACGAGGGCAGACUGUAAAUCUGCUGGCUUAUGCCUCCGGGGGUUCGAAUCCCUCACCGCCCA
This 83-nucleotide transfer RNA is filed under the name Phycisphaerae bacterium. Its description in RNAcentral is "tRNA-Tyr". It matches the Rfam family "tRNA". From Rfam's summary of the family: Transfer RNA (tRNA) molecules are approximately 80 nucleotides in length. Their secondary structure includes four short double-helical elements and three loops (D, anti-codon, and T loops). Lineage: Bacteria; Pseudomonadati; Planctomycetota; Phycisphaerae. The record is from RNAcentral.